AUUAAAAAAAAUAGAAUUUAAUAAUUUAUAAUAAUAAUUAAUAAUGCAUAAUAUUUAAUAAUAAUUUUACCUACACAAUUUCUUGUAUAUUAUUUAAAGAAUCAGAGAAAUCUGAUGAUGUAUUACGGACAAAGCCCCCCAAGUUUGCCAUACAAAUUUAUUUUGAUCCCCUCCCAUGAAACAUUCUCAAUUACGCCACUGUCUGGAGGACCCUUUCCUCCCAGAAAAGUGUUGAAAUUCUGCCACUGCGUCACUGCCUACUAUUAUACCUAACCAAUAUGCACCGCAGUUAAUCAAUCGAAAUUGCCAAUCAGUUUUAAGAUAGGUCGCGUAAUUCGGACCAAUCAAAGUAAUACAAAAAUCCCGUAUAAUAUCGCACAAUGCAAUAUUACAUUACACGCUUAUUGUGGUAACGAUAUUUCAUUUGCUGUUGUAAAUGUUAACAUUUUUCUUCACUAGUUUUUGGCGAUUUUUCAUAAUUUUCCAGAAAUGUAUUGGACAAAUAUUCCAAACGGAUUUUUGCAUGUAACAUUAAUUUCAGAUUUUCUGUAGACUAGUCUACAAGAAAAUUUAAUAGAAUUUUUAUCUUCCAUAGAAAUAGUGAUCAAAGAAAGUACAUAAAGAGUGCUUUAUUUUAAUACAAAUAAUAUUAGACGAGAAUAAUUGGCGUCAGUAAGUGAAUUAAUAGCUUUAAACAAUUUUGCAUCAUCAAAAAAAAGGAAUCUAUUAGAGUAAUUGUUUGAAUAGACUAUAAUAUUGUAUAUUAUAUUACCAUUUAUAAAUACAUCAAAUAAAAGGGGAGAAAGGUGAUAUUUGACCUGAUCCCUGAUUUUUUUUAACUAUUAUGGGUAUAGGUAUUAUUUUUAUUUUUGAGAAUCAUAUUUUCAUUAUUGAUCACGUC
Molecule: long non-coding RNA, 901 nt
Organism: Acyrthosiphon pisum (pea aphid)
Lineage: Eukaryota; Metazoa; Arthropoda; Insecta; Hemiptera; Aphididae
Exons: 3
Source: RefSeq, a predicted model, not a curated record